RNAcentral lists this transfer RNA (69 nucleotides) under Ictidomys tridecemlineatus (thirteen-lined ground squirrel). RNAcentral's name for it is "Spermophilus tridecemlineatus (thirteen-lined ground squirrel) tRNA". It matches the Rfam family "tRNA". Rfam says of the family: Transfer RNA (tRNA) molecules are approximately 80 nucleotides in length. Their secondary structure includes four short double-helical elements and three loops (D, anti-codon, and T loops). Further hydrogen bonds mediate the characteristic L-shaped molecular structure. tRNAs have two regions of fundamental functional importance: the anti-codon, which is responsible for specific mRNA codon recognition, and the 3' end, to which the tRNAs corresponding amino acid is attached (by aminoacyl-tRNA synthetases). tRNAs cope with the degeneracy of the genetic code in two manners: having more than one tRNA (with a specific anti-codon) for a particular amino acid; and 'wobble' base-pairing, i.e. permitting non-standard base-pairing at the 3rd anti-codon position. The record is from Rfam by way of RNAcentral. Lineage: Eukaryota; Metazoa; Chordata; Mammalia; Rodentia; Sciuridae.
GGGGCUGUAGCUCAGUGGUAGAGUGCUUGCCUUGCAGGUAUGAGGACCUGAGUUUGAUCCUCAGCACCA